RNAcentral lists this ribosomal RNA (327 nucleotides) under Triticum aestivum (bread wheat). RNAcentral describes it as "partial small subunit ribosomal RNA". Lineage: Eukaryota; Viridiplantae; Streptophyta; Magnoliopsida; Poales; Poaceae. The record is from RNAcentral.
AUGGAUGACACCCGAUGCCCCAUUCUUAGUUGGAAUGUGAGAGGGCUCAACAUGCCUGCGAAACAUGAUGCAGUCUCUGAAGUUGUGGCAGCCCAUCGUCCCGCGAUUCUUUGUCUCCAGGAAACAAAGAUCGAGAGCUGAUCGCCGGCCUUAGUCAGGGACAUAGGAGGAGCUAGAUUAGCUGAUUGCAUAGUGCUACCUGCGUUUGGCACUAGGGGCGGGGUGGCCAUCUUCUGGGACCGUCAGGUCGUUUCGAUCGCCUCCCAUGCCAUUGGAGAGUUCGCCAUCACUACAAAGGUUACUGUCAACAGUUCAGCCACCUCUUUC